RNAcentral lists this ribosomal RNA (253 nucleotides) under uncultured bacterium. RNAcentral describes it as "partial 16S ribosomal RNA". It matches the Rfam family "Bacterial small subunit ribosomal RNA", at positions 524 to 776 of the family's 1533-position model. The record is from RNAcentral.
UACGAAGGGGGCUAGCGUUGCUCAGAAUUACUGGGCGUAAAGGGCGCGUAGGCGGACAGUUUAGUCAGAGGUGAAAGCCCAGGGCUCAACCUUGGAAUUGCCUUUGAUACUGGCUGUCUUGAGUUCGGGAGAGGUGAGUGGAAUGCCGAGUGUAGAGGUGAAAUUCGUAGAUAUUCGGCGGAACACCAGUGGCGAAGGCGACUCACUGGCCCGAUACUGACGCUGAGGCGCGAAAGCGUGGGGAGCAAACAGG